RNAcentral lists this long non-coding RNA (327 nucleotides) under Gossypium barbadense (sea-island cotton). Its description in RNAcentral is "long non-coding RNA (GBAR_LNC006599)". The record is from RNAcentral. Lineage: Eukaryota; Viridiplantae; Streptophyta; Magnoliopsida; Malvales; Malvaceae.
GGGUCUAUUCCUCCUCUGAAUAAGAGCUUAUCUUGAAUCAGUAUCCUGGGAUAUCAAAACAAGAAUUAAGAACACAUAAUUAAGAACAAGUUAAAUAUUUAUUAUACGAUUCAGAAAAUAAUAACAAGAUUCGUCUUAGGUUUCAUUCCCCUUAGGUAUUUAGGGGAUUUUAGUUCAUAACUAAAUAAGAAAACAUCUCAGAAGAAUAAAGAAUACAAAACAUAAAAAAACCCCAAAACUCCUGAAGGGAAAUUGAGGAGAGAUCUUCAGUCUUGAUGGUGAAUCUAGCUUCUGAGAUUGAUCAAUCGGCUUCCUUCGAGUAAUUCC